RNAcentral lists this ribosomal RNA (194 nucleotides) under uncultured bacterium. Its description in RNAcentral is "partial 16S ribosomal RNA". It matches the Rfam family "Bacterial small subunit ribosomal RNA", at positions 338 to 524 of the family's 1533-position model. The record is from RNAcentral.
CCUACGGGAGGCAGCAGUGGGGAAUAUUGGACAAUGGGCGAAAGCCUGAUCCAGCCAUGCCGCGUGUGUGAAGAAGGUCUUCGGAUUGUAAAGCACUUUAAGUUGGGAGGAAGGGCCGUUACCUAAUACGUGAUGGUUUUGACGUUACCGACAGAAUAGGCACCGGCUAACUCUGUGCCAGCAGCCGCGGUAAU